Molecule: long non-coding RNA, 636 nt
Organism: Galleria mellonella (greater wax moth)
Lineage: Eukaryota; Metazoa; Arthropoda; Insecta; Lepidoptera; Pyralidae
Exons: 3
Source: RefSeq, a predicted model, not a curated record
CGACGGAUGAGAUGCGCGUGUUGGUAAAACCGUUACAAAGCCUUGAGGCAGGUUCUGUCGCCGGCUCCUGCACCCACUUAAAUCCUCUUAACUGAAAAGGAUCGUUUCUUUGUGUGACGAAAAGAGGAUCCAAGUGAUGUUCUCAUAUUCGUAUGUGUUAUGUUGUCAUAUCGGUUUGGAAAUACUGCUGCUGGAAGCUGCGUGGAAAAAAGUGCCUUGAAAAACGCACAGUGGAAGACCGCCACUCGUCCAGAUGGUUGGUACAGAGAUGCAACAUCUCUGCACAGUGGGUCGAGCCGGACAGUAAGGUGCUGAUUAUCAAUAUUUACCUACUUGCAUAACAGUAAUGAUUUCUUCUCAUCACAUAGUACAAAUAUUUCAAAAUGAUAAUGUACUUAACUGUUGUAUUAUUUAACAGCCAAAUAUAAAUAAUUUCCCGUACCGUGGUUCUAUGGAAUGCCUAAAUUCCCACUUUAGAAAUCACUGCUAUAGAAAACAUGCUUUAAACGAAAGCUACAAGUUAUUAAAAAAUUCAAACGUAAGUAAACGGUUUGUGAAUAGAUACAUAUUAACGACCUUAGUGGCACAGUGGUGAGCAUACUGCAUUGCGUAAUUGAUGUCUCGGAUUUGAUUCCC